UUUUCCUACGGGAGGCAGCAGUGAGGAAUAUUGGUCAAUGGCCGGGAGGCUGAACCAGCCAAGUCGCGUGAGGGAAGACGGCCCUACGGGUUGUAAACCUCUUUUGUCAGGGAGCAAGGUGCAGGUCGGGACCUGCUGUGAGAGUACCUGUAGAAUAAGCUCCGGCUAACUACGUGCCAGCAGCCGCGGUAAUACGUAGGGAGCAAGCGUUAUCCGGAUUUAUUGGGUGUAAAGGGUGCGUAGACGGGAAAACAAGUUAGUUGUGAAAUCCCUCGGCUUAACUGAGGAACUGCGACUAAAACUAU
Molecule: ribosomal RNA, 305 nt
Filed under: uncultured bacterium
Lineage: Bacteria
Description: bacterial SSU rRNA
Rfam family: Bacterial small subunit ribosomal RNA
Source: RNAcentral